Molecule: long non-coding RNA, 247 nt
Filed under: Mytilus galloprovincialis (Mediterranean mussel)
Lineage: Eukaryota; Metazoa; Mollusca; Bivalvia; Mytilida; Mytilidae
Source: RNAcentral
GGAUUAUAAUUCACUCUAAAGGAUUGAUUACUUGACGACUAUGUGUAUAAUAUAAUGUUUAAUUGUUACAACAAGUGUUAAAACAAACUAACAAUAUUGUGUAAGCUACUUUCACUUAAAGUGGUACCUAACACUACAGGGAGAUAACUCUGUAAUAUCAGCUAAACGUUUUAAUUACGUUGCGUUGUGUAGGCAAUAUAAAGCUUCUCAAUGAUCAAAAUUAGUGUUUGUCAAACUGCUAUAUAAC